Oncorhynchus keta (chum salmon) is the source of this 594-nucleotide long non-coding RNA. RefSeq lists it as uncharacterized. The transcript has 2 exons. The record is from RefSeq and is a predicted model, not a curated record. Lineage: Eukaryota; Metazoa; Chordata; Actinopteri; Salmoniformes; Salmonidae.
GGCACUUCACCUCAAUGGCUUCAGGGAUGUCAUUGAUCAUGUCUGACCCUGUCUAAAGACCCCAGCUCUCUGUGGGUGUUGAUAAUGUCUGACCCUGUCUAAAGACCCCAGCUCUCUGUGGGUGUUGAUAAUGUCUGACCCUGUCUAAAGACUCCAGCUCUCUGUGGGUGUUGAUAAUGUCUGACCCUGUCUAAAGACCCCAGCUCUCUGUGGGUGUUGAUAAUGUCUGACCCUGUCUAAAGACCCCAGCUCUCUGUGGGUGUUGAUAAUGUCUGACCCUGUCUAAAGACCCCAGCUCUCUGUGGGUGUUGAUAAUGUCUGACCCUGUCUAAAGACUCCAGCUCUCUGUGGGUGUUGAUAAUGUCUGACCCUGUCUAAAGACCCCAGCUCUCUGUGGGUGUUGAUAAUGUCUGACCCUGUCUAAAGACCCCAGCUCUCUGUGGGUGUUGAUAAUGUCUGACCCUGUCUAAAGACCCCAGCUCUCUGUGGGUGUUGAUAAUGUCUGACCCUGUCUAAAGACCCCAGCUCUCUGUGGGUGUUGAUAAUGUCUGACCCUGUCUAAAGACCCCAGCUCUCUGUGGGUGUUGAUAAUGU